AGUGAACGCUGGCGGUAGGCCUAACACAUGCAAGUCGAACGGCAGCACAGUAAGAGCUUGCUCUUACGGGUGGCGAGUGGCGGACGAGUGAGGAAUGCAUCGGAAUCUACUUUUUCGGGGGGGAUAACGUAGGGAAACUUACGCUAAUACCGCAUACGACCUACGGGUGAAAGCAGGGGAUCUUCGGACCUUGCGCGAUUGAAUGAGCCGAUGUCGGAUUAGCUAGUUGGCGGGGUAAAGGCCCACCAAGGCGACGAUCCGUAGCUGGUCUGAGAGGAUGAUCAGCCACACUGGAACUGAGACACGGUCCAGACUCCUACGGGAGGCAGCAGUGGGGAAUAUUGGACAAUGGGCGCAAGCCUGAUCCAGCCAUACCGCGUGGGUGAAGAAGGCCUUCGGGUUGUAAAGCCCUUUUGUUGGGAAAGAAAAGCAGCAGGUUAAUACCCCGCUGUUCUGACGGUACCCAAAGAAUAAGCACCGGCUAACUUCGUG
Molecule: ribosomal RNA, 492 nt
Filed under: uncultured bacterium
Lineage: Bacteria
Description: partial 16S ribosomal RNA
Rfam family: Bacterial small subunit ribosomal RNA
Source: RNAcentral